Molecule: ribosomal RNA, 477 nt
Filed under: Candidatus Scalindua brodae
Lineage: Bacteria; Pseudomonadati; Planctomycetota; Candidatus Brocadiia; Candidatus Brocadiales; Candidatus Scalinduaceae
Description: bacterial SSU rRNA
Rfam family: Bacterial small subunit ribosomal RNA
Source: RNAcentral
UUCGCAAUGCCCGAAAGGGUGACGAAGCGACGCCGCGUGGGUGAGGAAGGCCUUCGGGUUGUAAAGCCCUGUCAGGAGUUAAGAAAUAUAAGUGCGCUAAUAUCGCAUUUAUUUGACGAAGGCUCCAAAGGAAGCCACGGCUAACUCUGUGCCAGCAGCCGCGGUAAUACAGAGGUGGCAAGCGUUGUUCGGAAUUAUUGGGCGUAAAGAGCACGUAGGUGGGUUUGUAAGUCAGAUGUGAAAGCCUUCUGUUCAACGGAAGAAUUGCAUCUGAAACUACAAGUCUUGAGUGUAGGAGGGGAGAAUGGAACUUCUGGUGGAGCGGUGAAAUGCGUAGAUAUCAGAAGGAACGCCGGCGGCGAAAGCGAUUCUCUGGCCUAUUACUGACACUCAGUGUGCGAAAGCUAGGGGAGCAAACGGGAUUAGAUACCCCGGUAGUCCUAGCUGUGAACGAUGGGCACUAAGUAGAGGGGUUUU